RNAcentral lists this ribosomal RNA (898 nucleotides) under Colletotrichum spinaciae. Its description in RNAcentral is "LSU rRNA". It matches the Rfam family "Eukaryotic large subunit ribosomal RNA", at positions 38 to 966 of the family's 3401-position model. The record is from RNAcentral. Lineage: Eukaryota; Fungi; Ascomycota; Sordariomycetes; Glomerellales; Glomerellaceae.
GCAUAUCAAUAAGCGGAGGAAAAGAAACCAACAGGGAUUGCCYCAGUAACGGCGAGUGAAGCGGCAACAGCUCAAAUUUGAAAUCUGGCCCCAGGCCCGAGUUGUAAUUUGCAGAGGAUGCUUUUGGCGCGGUGCCUUCCGAGUUCCCUGGAACGGGACGCCAUAGAGGGUGAGAGCCCCGUACGGUUGGACACCAAGCCUUUGUAAAGCUCCUUCGACGAGUCGAGUAGUUUGGGAAUGCUGCUCUAAAUGGGAGGUAUAUUUCUUCUAAAGCUAAAUAUAGGCCAGAGACCGAUAGCGCACAAGUAGAGUGAUCGAAAGAUGAAAAGCACUUUGAAAAGAGGGUUAAACAGCACGUGAAAUUGUURAAAGGGAAGCGCUUGUGACCAGACUUGCGUCCGGUGAAUCACCCAGCUCUCGCGGCUGGGGCACUUUGCCGGCACAGGCCAGCAUCAGCUCGCUGUCGGGGACAAAAGCUUCGGGAACGUAGCUCUCUUCGGGGAGUGUUAUAGCCCGUUGCAUAAUACCCUUCGGUGGGCUGAGGUACGCGCUCCGCAAGGAUGCUGGCGUAAUGGUCAUCAGCGACCCGUCUUGAAACACGGACCAAGGAGUCAACCUUAUGUGCGAGUGUUUGGGUGUUAAACCCCUACGCGUAAUGAAAGUGAACGCAGGUGAGAGCUUCGGCGCAUCAUCGACCGAUCCUGAUGUUCUCGGAYGGAUUUGAGUAAGAGCAUAUAGGGUUGGACCCGAAAGAAGGUGAACUAUGCGUGUAUAGGGUGAAGCCAGAGGAAACUCUGGUGGAGGCUCGCAGCGGUUCUGACGUGCAAAUCGAUCGUCAAAUAUGCGCAUGGGGGCGAAAGACUAAUCGAACCCUUCUAGUAGCUGGUUUCCGCCGAAG